This 23-nucleotide microRNA is filed under the name Salmo salar (Atlantic salmon). RNAcentral's name for it is "ssa-miR-17-3p". Its record names the gene ssa-miR-17-3p. Lineage: Eukaryota; Metazoa; Chordata; Actinopteri; Salmoniformes; Salmonidae. The record is from miRBase by way of RNAcentral.
CUGCAGUGAAGGCACUUUAAGCA